Molecule: ribosomal RNA, 266 nt
Filed under: uncultured bacterium
Lineage: Bacteria
Description: partial 16S ribosomal RNA
Rfam family: Bacterial small subunit ribosomal RNA
Source: RNAcentral
GCAAGUCGAACGUGAAAGUGGACUUCGGUCCGCGAGUAAAGUGGCGCACGGGUGAGUAACACGUGAAUAAUCUGCCCGAUGAUCUGGGAUAACAUUUCGAAAGGAAUGCUAAUACCUGAUAAGCCCCCGAGAACUUCGGAUCUUGAGGGAAAAGGUGGCCUCUCCUUGGAAGCUUCCGUCAUCGGAUGAGUUCGCGGCCCAUUAGCUAGUUGGUGAGGUAACGGCCCACCAAGGCUACGAUGGGUAGCUGGUCUGAGAGGAUGAUC